This is a long non-coding RNA of Musa acuminata AAA Group (dessert banana), 5533 nucleotides long. RefSeq lists it as uncharacterized. The transcript is spliced from 3 exons. The record is from RefSeq and is a predicted model, not a curated record. Lineage: Eukaryota; Viridiplantae; Streptophyta; Magnoliopsida; Zingiberales; Musaceae.
AAAGAGAGGGAAGAGGGAGAGGAGCGAGAGGUGGCAGCAGCUAGGGCUGCAGCACCUCUGUUUCCUGCAGGUGGAAACAGAGGAGAGGUGGGGCGUUCGAAGAGGAGAAGAAGAAGAAGGAAGAGAAGAGGAAGAGGAAGCAGGAGAAGAGGUUGUGAUACCUCUGUUUCCUGCAGAGGAAACAGAGGAGAGGGUGUGUGUGACGUCGGGGAGAAGAAGGGGAAGAAGGAGAAGAAGAGAAGAAGAAGAAAGGAAGGAGAGGAAGAAGAGAAGGGAAAGGAGGAGCUGCGGCUGCGGCGGUGGCAGCUGCAGCUGGAAGAGAAGGAGAGGAAGAGAUGGUGAGGAAGAAGAGAAGAAGUAGAAGCGGGUGAAGAGGCGGCACCUCUGUUUCCUGCAGGAGGAAACAGAGGAAAGGAGGUGCUGUUCGUCGGGGAGAAGAAGGGGGCUGCAGCUGCGGCGAUGGCAGCUGCAGCUGGAAUAGAAGAAGAAGAGGAAGAUGAGCAGGGGAGGAGGGAGAGGUUGCGGCCGUGGCUGCGGCCGCGACUGCAGCAGUUGCAGCGGGGAGAGAAGAAGAAGAAAGGAAGGAGAAGGAAGAGGAGAAGGGAAAGAAGUAGCUGCGGCUGCGGUUGUGGCAGCUGCAGCUGUGGCAGGGAAAGAGGAAGAGAAAAAGGAAAGGAAGAAGAAGAGAAAGGGAAGGAGAGGAAGAAGAGAGGAAGAGGAGAAGGGGCUGCAGUUGCGGCGAUGGCAGCUGCAGCUGUGGCUGGGAAAGAAGAGAAGGAAAGGAAGAAGAAGAGAAAGGGAAGGAGAGGAAGAAGAGAGGAAGAGGAGAAGGGGUGGCAGCUGCGGCAGUGGCAGCUGCAGCUGGAAGAGGAGGAGGAAAUAGAGCAGGGGAGGAAGAAGAGGCUGCGAGUGUGGUGGCUGCGGCCGUGGCUGCGACUCCGGCUGUGGCUGCGACGUUGGCUGCGGUAGCUGCGGCAGCGGUGGUAGCUGCAGUAGCUGCUUUUGGGAAAGAGAAAGAGUAGGAACGAGAGAAGGGAAGAAGGAAAUAGUGCAGUGGAAGGGGGCUCGGUUGUGACCGCAGUUGCGAUUGUGGCAGCGGCAGCGGCGGCGGCUGUGGCAGCUGCGUUUGGGAAAGAAAAAGAAGGAAUGAGAGUAAGAGAGAGCAGGUGACUGUGCCUCGAUGUUCGACACGUGAUGUAGUUACGAAGAAAGGAAGAAAAUGGGAGCACAAAACGAAACAGAGAGAGGACACGGAGGAAAAGUAGAAAGAUUGGACUGGCACCUUCCUUGGAUAUUCAGAUCAAAAUAUUUGAAAGGUCAGCUUGUCACUCUUCGAGAUGUUUGAUUUGGGCUGAGGCAGUGGAUAGCUAUUCAGAAUUAUGGGCAAGUCCUGUUGGUUGUUAUGCUAUUGUUGUAUAAGCAUAUUUUGUAUGUAAUGAAUUGUUCUGAUGAUCGAAAUGGAUAUACUGUGUAAAAGUGUUAGAAGAUCUCUCUUAUUUGGAAUUUCGGAAUGUUAAGUCUAAUUUAUGACGAUAUGAACUUGUGGUGAAUAGUUGGAGUUCUGAUUGUAUAAUUUAUUUAGCUUGUGGAUUUAUAAAUGUUGUUCAUGUUUGUCAAGUUGGCUUGGGUUGCCAUAAAUGUGAAUUAUCGAGUGAUGUGAUAUAUGAUUAUAAACUGCACAGGUUUUAUGGAUGUGAAUAUGAAUAGAAUGUUUUCAGUGUCCUCAAACGUUAGUUUGGAUCCUGGAUUGGUCUGUGACGAAAAUUUUAAAAAUCAUGGAUAUUUUGAGGGGCGUGACAAAGGUGGUAUCAGAGCAUUGUUUGAGGAUUACUGAAAUAUUUGAUAUGUUGACGUGCAAAAUAUAUUGAGGUCUAAUGAACUAUAGUGAUUGGUGGAAAUUUUCUUUGCUGCAUUUUAGGAAUCUGGGAUGAUGAGGACAUUUGGUCCUCCUAUAUCAUUUGUUUCUGAUUAAUUAAGGGGAAUGAAAGGAUUGAUUGGGGAUAUUGAAUCAGAGUGGCGCAGCAGAAGAAUGAUGAACCUAAUUUCAUUGGUGGUAGAAAAAUGGAUGAUGCAAAUGGAGAAGAUAUUUGAUAUACAAAAUUGUUCUGAUACUCGAAAGAUUUCUUUUGCCACGUUAUAUUGGAAGUAAAGACUUAUUAUUGACGGCAACAAUGAAAAGAAUUUUUGAAGAUCAAUGGCAAGAAUGACAAGAACAAGUUUACCAAUAAAAAUAUGAUUGGAAAUGAAUCAGUAAGUAACAACAAGAGAGUCAAGACAUUUGGAUUUGAAAUGGGAAGUCACCACAAAAGACUCAAUCAGGUGUGAAUUGCAAGUUAAAUUAUGAAACAAGUUUAUGUUUGUGCGUGACUAGAGCGUAUUUUGCUUAUGGAAAGUUUGAUAAUAAAAUAAAAGUUUGCCCUUUGAACAAGAAGAAAGAGUCACUGCCUCCUAAAUCAUCAGCCCAUGUCAGAGUGUAUGCUAUCACUGAAUAUGAUUCUAAGACUUCUGAAUUAGUGGUCGAAGGUAUUAUGUAUGUUUAUGAAAGAAUGCAAAUAUUUGUUUGAACAUGGGUUCUAUCUACGAUUUGAUUCGUAACAUAUUGCCUAUCACUUGGGUAUUCAACCUAGACCACUGUAUUAUGUGAUAUAUGUAAGUACAAUCAUUGGAGAUUCUUUGAUAACGAACUUGAAUCUGGUCCUCUUGUCUGAUUUUUGUUGGAGAACUUGAACUUUUGCUGAUUUAGUUCUCCUAGAGAUUUGGAGUUAUGAUAUUAUACUUGGUAUGCAUUGGCUAUCUUCUUAUCAUACCAGUAUGGAUUGGUAUAUAACAAAUGAUCACUUUUUGCAUAUUUGAUCAGCCGAUCUUUUAUUUUGAGAGUAUUGGACAUUAUUUAUCUCCUUGCCUAAUGUAUCCCAGGAUGACUUGCCUGGAUUACCUCCAAAUGUGAUUUUGCUUUUGAUUUGGUCCUUGGGACAAUCCCUAUAUCUAAGCCUCUCUGCAGAAUGAUAUCAUUUGAGUAAGUGGAAUUAGAAAAACAACUACAAGGAUUAUUAAAUGAGGAUUUUAUUUGGCUUAAUAUUUUAUCAUGGGGUGCUCUGGUGUUAGUUAAAAAGAUGGAUGGAACAUGGAGGCUUUGUAUUGAUUAUGGAUAGUUGAAUCAGGUGAUCAUCAAAAACGAGUAUUUUCUGAAGUAACAAUUUGCUUGAUUAAUUACAGGUGCGCAAGUAUUUUUGAAAGAUUGAUUGAAGGUCGGGUUUACCAUCUAUUGAGAAUCAAGAAGGAGAAUAUUUCGGUCACUCUUGGAAAAUUGUGUAAUUGUAUUGAAUUGAUGAAAUUAUUUAAGAGUAGGAGGAGGAAAUAAAGAAAUCAUAAUCCUCAUCUUUUCAUCGAUUGAGCUAUGACCAAUUUAGAGGACUAAAUUUUCUUUUAAGGGGGGGAGAGUGUAAUAUCCCCCACAUUUAAAAAUGUAUUAAAAAGGAUUUAUAUGUAAAUUGGGGGACCUAUAUGUAAAUAUAGAAAUUACAAGGACUAAACUGCUAAGUUGCAAAAAGAAAAAAAAAAAAAGAAAAGGAAAAACCGAAAAUUCGGUAUUAUCCCACCGCCUCCCACGCACUCUGUUUCUUUCCAGAAACAGAGAGAGCGGUGGGGCGUGAGGAGAAGAAGGAGAGUGGUUGAAGAAAAGAAGAAGAAGAGGGAAAAGAAGAGAGGAGGAAGAAGAGAGGAAGAAGAGAGGAAGAGAAGAAGAUGAAGAAGAAGAAGAAGAGGAGGUGGCUGCAGCGAGGGCUGCAGCGAGAAGCUGUGGGGCGUGGGGAGAAGAAGAGAGGAAGAAGAGGGAGAAGAGAAGAAGAAGCAGAAGAAGCAGAAGAAGAAGAAGAAGAAGAAGAAGAGAGGAUGAUAGCUGCGGCAAGGCUGCAGCGAGGAGGUGUGUGGGGUUGGGGAGGAAAGGGGAAGAGGAGAAGAAAAGAAGGAGAAGAAGAGGGAAAAGAGAGGGAAGAGGGAGAGGAGCGAGAGGUGGCAGCAGCUAGGGCUGCAGCACCUCUGUUUCCUGCAGGUGGAAACAGAGGAGAGGUGGGGCGUUCGAAGAGGAGAAGAAGAAGAAGAAGGAAGAGAAGAGGAAGAGGAAGCAGGAGAAGAGGUUGUGAUACCUCUGUUUCCUGCAGAGGAAACAGAGGAGAGGGUGUGUGUGACGUCGGGGAGAAGAAGGGGAAGAAGGAGAAGAAGUGAAGAAGAAGAAAGGAAGGAGAGGAAGAAGAGAAGGGAAAGGAGGAGCUGCGGCUGCGGCGGUGGCAACUGCAGCUGGAAGAGAAGGAGAGGAAGAGAUGGUGAGGAAGAAGAGAAGAAGUAGAAGCGGGUGAAGAGGCGGCACCUCUGUUUCCUGCAGGAGGAAACAGAGGAAAGGAGGUGCUGUUCGUCGGGGAGAAGAAGGGGGCUGCAGCUGCGGCGAUGGCAGCUGCAGCUGGAAGAGAAGAAGAAGAGGAAGAUGAGCAGGGGAGGAGGGAGAGGUUGCGGCCGUGGCUGCGGCCGCGACUGCAGCAGUUGCAGCGGGGAGAGAAGAAGAAGAAAGGAAGGAGAAGGAAGAGGAGAAGGGAAAGAAGUAGCUGCGGCUGCGGUUGUGGCAGCUGCAGCUGUGGCAGGGAAAGAGGAAGAGAAAAAGGAAAGGAAGAAGAAGAGAAAGGGAAGGAGAGGAAGAAGAGAGGAAGAGGAGAAGGGGCUGCGGCUGCGGCGAUGGCAGCUGCAGCUGUGGCUGGGAAAGAAGAGAAGGAAAGGAAGAAGAAGAGAAAGGGAAGGAGAGGAAGAGGAGAAGGGGUGGCACCUGCGGCAGUGGCAGCUGCAGCUGGAAGAGGAGGAGGAAAUAGAGUAGGGGAGGAAGAAGAGGUUGCGAGUGUGGUGGCUGCGGCCGUGGCUGCGACUCCGGCUGCGGCUGCGACGUUGGCUGCGGUAGCUGCGGCAGCGGUGGUGGCUGCAGUAGCUGCAGUAGCUGCUUUUGGGAAAGAGAAAGAGUCGGAACGAGAGAAGGGAAGAAGGAAAUAGUGCAGUGGAAGGGGGCUGCGGUUGUGAUCGCAGUUGCGAUUAUGGCAGCGGUAGCGGCGGCGGCUGUGGCAGCUGCGUUUGGGAAAGAAAAAGAAGGAAUGAGAGUAAGAGAGAGCAGGUGACUGUGCAUCGAUGUUCGACACGUGAUGUAGUUACGAAGAAAGGAAGAAAACAGGAGCACAAAACGAAACAGAGAGAGGACACGGAGGAAAAGUAGAAAGAUUGGACUGGCACCUUCCUUGGAUAUUCAGAUCAAAAUUUUUGAAAGGUCAGCUUGUCACUCUUCGAGAUGUUUGAUUUGGGCUGAGGCAGUGGAUAGCUAUUCAGAAUUAUGGGCAAGUCCUGUUGGUUGUUAUGCUAUUGUUGUAUAAGCAUAUUUUGUAUGUAAUGAAUUGUUCUGAUGAUCGAAAUGGAUAUACUGUGUAAAAGUGUUAGAAGAUCUCUCUUAUUUGGAAUUUCAGAAUGUUAAGUCUAAUUUAUGACGAUAUGAACUUGUGGUGAA